CUCUAUCCCACUGAUUCUAGUUGAGCUAUAGUGCAAACCCUGAUAAAUGCUCUUGAUGCAUGCUGCAUGUCUCAUCGAUUCACUGCAGCUCUAACCACACGUAAGAGAACUGCUAGGAGCUGAGACCAUGAUUGCAUCAUUUCCUCUGACUGUGGGUGGCAGAAGGUCACUGCACUGAUACCAGUCAUGCUCAUGAGAAUACUCGUACAUCUCAGAAUGACUGACACCUGGAAACGGCGUGUUCCUGCACAUUUGAUGCAUGAAAUGACAUCUAAAAUGACUCAGUCAGAAUGAGUACAAAUUAAUUAUAAUUAGGAUAUCAGUAGUUAGUUGGGAGAGUGAUUCAGCAGACAAAAUUACCCAAGGAAAUUCAAAGAAGAUGGAGAAAGACAGAGUCUUGUGCCCUGCAUUUAUAAGUAUCCUUAUGUUUGUUGGGUAAAAAAAAAAAACUUAAUAAACAAAGUAAAAAAUUAAUUGACUGAUAUAAUUUGCCCCUAAGGUUUCUAUAGAUAUAACGAUAUAUCAAUAUUGUGAAUUCUUAUGGCCAGUAUAACCAUAAUAUAAAAAGUCUAACACUGUGACAGCCCCAAAGUGCAAAGUGCCUGGAAUAACUCUCCACAUGUCUAAGAACUGACAUAGCGGCUGAAUCACUCCAAUCGCUGUUGCUAGUGUUGUUCUUUGUAGACCAGAGCCUUGCCACGGUGAGGCUAAAUACCCUGGUGGGGAAAUGGUUUGCGGAGGAUAACACUGGGAGGCCAUCAUAGGCACAGACAGUGGCUCUGUGCUUCUGUGAGGCAGGGAACAAGGCAAACAUAAUGAAAGAUGUGGUGCUUGUGAGCAAGGCCUCCAGUGAGUUCUCUCCUCUUCUUGGCAGGUCCGUCAGCACAAAGGUUUGGCAGCCGAGGGUGGUCCGCUGUCAUGGACGAGAUUCCUCCUCUGUCUGUGACAACUUUUCCCGGAUCCCAUCCACUGCUGGGGGCGAAAAUCAUGUCGAAGAGCUGCGGAGGCUCCUUAGUCAUUCUCUUACUGGAGCGGGAUGCAGAUGAGAAGUGUGAUCUCGAUGGUGGAUGGAAUGGCUGCCGGGGCAUCAGGUGACUCAUCGUCUUAGAUCACUUUUCCAACUCUUGCCUACCGUAGCAAUAGGAGCACAGAAGAUGCAGGUCCACCACCAUCAUGCUGGACACCGGGGUACCACAGGGCUGUGCUGAGCCCAUUCCCCUACUCCCUCUACACCCACCACUUCAGGCUUGUGCAUGGAUCCAAUUCCAUCAUAAAUUUUGCAGAUGACACCACAGUGAUUGGCCUCAUCAGAGACUACAAUAAGAUUGCCUAGAGGGAGGAGAUACAGCACCUGGCCGCAUGGUGUGCUGUAGGGCUGUCAACCAAUAUUCUAAAUUCAAAUAUAUAUUAGAAUAGUAAAAAAAAAAAAAAAAACUAAUUUCAAAGGUGAAAAUUAACAUUCGAAUAAAAAAAAUGUGGAAAAAAAUGCCCACGGUAGUAGAGGCGUGGCUGUCUGCUUUGCGAUUGAGCGCGCUAGCGCCUGAGGGUUCAGGGACAGGUCACUGAAAGUCGACGCGUCUUGCAAGGAUGAUGGCAGAAAGUGCAGAGCCCAACUCGACCGCAGCAGAGAAAGUGAGGUAAAAUUUUUGACCCACGAGAUAAAGUUGUAUGCAAGCUAUGUAAGAUACAGUUAGCAUACCAUUCGACCACCUGAACUGAUGUCACAUCUCACAAAAAUGUCCACCCAAAUGAGCAUGGCAUAAUGUGUAGAACUCCAGCUAAACAGUCAUGUCUUGACUGGACGUUUCUUUGCUUCUCCCGCCACAAGCUCUUUGUCCGCAACACAACUAGAGACCAUAGCGCCAUAAAAGGACAUGAGACCGAUCAGUACUGUCAAGCAAUAGAAGCGAGGUUUGAUUAUUUAUAGUUUCAUGUCAAGGAAAAGUUCCUUG
This is a long non-coding RNA of Carassius auratus (goldfish), 1952 nucleotides long. RefSeq lists it as uncharacterized. Lineage: Eukaryota; Metazoa; Chordata; Actinopteri; Cypriniformes; Cyprinidae. The transcript is spliced from 3 exons. The record is from RefSeq and is a predicted model, not a curated record.